GGGGCGGGCUGGCCUAUGGUGGAUGGUGCUAGGGUUUUAGAAAUGAAGGCAGUGAGUACCAACUGAGUGGCAGCUACCUAGAAAAGUCGGCUCUGAAAGAGAAAAGGGCUGCGCCCGUCGCAUCGGUUUGUGCUAUUUUUAUCCCUGCCUGUAGGCCAACUGUAUGUCCGUGACUGCUGGCGAAUGCAUGUAUAGGGACACGCUCAGAGAAGGGAUUUAGGAUAUCCUGAAUACCGAGAUGACAAAAAUGCACCCCGAGUAAUCAAAAAAUGAAAAAAGGAGUUUUAUUCUUUGCGUAUUUUGUAGUCUCUUUGGCUCUUAUCACAAAUGUAUGAGUAUAAAACAUGACACAGCAAGUAAAUAUCUGAUUUAGCUCACACAAAACAAACAUUGGCUACACUACAUGCAAGCACGUAUGAGCACAUACAGUGGUCUACAAUCAUUCAAUCAAGGAAUAAGCAGUGUCAGUGGGAGAUGAAGCCAAGGUUUGCCAGCGCAGUGCACGGUGAUCACCGCGUGGUGUCGACAAACCCAACCAGAGAACCUCCUUUAAUUUUAACCCAAACUUUGUCUACCCCCACCACCUCCACCCUUCCAAAAAAAAAAAAAAAAACAAAACAUUAAAAAAAAAACGGCACUCCUGACUCCAGCGAAAACCAAGACACAACACACUUUUUGUCCGAGUUCACAUCACAACGAGAAGGUACUGCUCAUCCUUCUGUUCCUUUCACUAUCACAACUACUCCGACACAGGCAGGAGGCGUGCCUUCUGCAAAAACCACACAAAGAUCUUUGUACACCAAGUCUGUCAAAUGGAUUUCUCAAUUUUACCGGCCACACCUGCACAAAGUACAAAAGAUUCACUUUUAAACGACCUUUAAGGCAAAAGAACAGUACUGUGCAGCGGCUUUAGCCACUCGAGGCGAUUAGCUGCUUCUAAGCAGUUUUCGUUGAGUCAUUUCCUCCCCCCCGCAUGCCAACGAGUUCAACCAUAAAGUCAAGGAUAUAAAGAACUAUCUACGGCAACCAGAAGAAAUAAAAGUCCUGGCACCGAUGGUGUGGCAUCCAGAGAACUGUGAUCUAUGACAGUCUGAAACCACAGAGUAACUGUGGCAAGUUUUUGUCAAGGAUAUUCAAAA
Molecule: long non-coding RNA, 1139 nt
Organism: Astatotilapia calliptera (eastern happy)
Lineage: Eukaryota; Metazoa; Chordata; Actinopteri; Cichliformes; Cichlidae
Source: Ensembl